GUAACCACUUUGUAAACCCAGACACGAGACAGAAGGCCUGUGGAUUCCCGCUAACAAGCUGUGUAAGGCAUUCUCAGCAUUUCUCCAGGCUGUCAGAGGGCUUAGAUCAAGUGUUCUCACACAUUGCCUAAGCUCUUCUCAGACAUAUUUGCUCCAGGCUUUUAUCAACUGCCAGGAAACAAGCAGCUGUGAGUUCCAAACCUAGCAGAUGUCUUUCUUGAGCUUGCCGGCCACCAGCCACUCGGCCUCUACUGCUGACUUCAGGACCAGCUCCUUGACCUGCGUGUCCAGUUUUUGCAUUUCGCUCACUUUGUCGCACAGGUUGGAGCCCUCAGUUUUCAGCCUGGACUGCAGCACUGCCACCUCGCUGGUCAAAGCCUUGUGCUUAGUUUCCAGGCUCUUCUUGCCACUAUUGAGGCUGGACACAUCCCGGGACUGUUUGUAUCUACUGACCGUCUUGUCAAAGUGAUGGUAGAGACCUAGUCUCUUGCUGACCAGGGUCAAGACCUGCUCUGUUAUGCAAGCCACCUUCAUCCUGGCUUCUGCAGCUGGAUUCUUUGUGAUGGAUAAGUCCAGCCUGACAUAGAUGAUGAUGGUGAAGAACAGAAUGGAGAAGGCGGCCACCAACAGCAGGGGCUCCUGUAGCAUGAGCACCUUGCUGAAGGUGUAGUGCACCAUGAUGUCCUGAAUGUGCUCUUCCACCAGGUUUUUCUUGUGGGCCACAAUCACAGGACGGCCAAACGUGUCCAGACUGUUGGUUUCCUCAUCCACUCCCGUCACCUGCACGCCGAGGUGUGCCAGCUGGGCCUCCAACUCGGGCUCCAGCGCUACCAGGAAGGAGGCAGCGUGGGGCGAGGAGUCACUGCCCGCGUGAGCCAGGACCACCUCGGCUGUCACCUUGGCCAGGUGGCUGCUCAGGUCCACCGUACGCCUCACCUCUUCGUUGACCAGUGGCGGAGCCUCCGCAGAGGUGCUGCCUGGCUCCAGGGCCCAGGGCACAAACAGCAGCAGCAACGGCAGCAGGUGGACUGCAGGCGCCUCCAUAGCCGUGACCUAGUGAGCCCCGCCUGCGUGUGCGUGCCCUGCGUUCCCCACAGGGCAGCGUCUCAUUGGGCCACUCAGUUCCCCAAGAUGGCGGCGCCCAGGACCCCACAGUUAGUAUUUAAUGAGGAGCUUUUACUCUUAAAGGACAAGGCCAGCAACAAUAACAAAAUCACCACUGUGGGAAAUAGGAAACAGAGAUUGACAGGUACAAGAAUAUCCAGUGGAAAGAGGAUACAAUUUGGAAAACUUUCACCAGAGUUCAAGUUGAUUCUGCCAUGA
Molecule: long non-coding RNA, 1323 nt
Filed under: Capra hircus (goat)
Lineage: Eukaryota; Metazoa; Chordata; Mammalia; Artiodactyla; Bovidae
Description: lncRNA (ENSCHIG00010007853.1)
Source: RNAcentral